RNAcentral lists this ribosomal RNA (1351 nucleotides) under Diaporthe fibrosa. RNAcentral's name for it is "eukaryotic LSU rRNA". It matches the Rfam family "Eukaryotic large subunit ribosomal RNA", at positions 56 to 1438 of the family's 3401-position model. Lineage: Eukaryota; Fungi; Ascomycota; Sordariomycetes; Diaporthales; Diaporthaceae. The record is from RNAcentral.
GAAAAGAAACCAACAGGGAUUGCCCUAGUAACGGCGAGUGAAGCGGCAACAGCUCAAAUUUGAAAUCUGGCCUCGGCCCGAGUUGUAAUUUGCAGAGGAUGUUUCUGGCGCGGUGCCUUCCGAGUUCCCUGGAACGGGACGCCACAGAGGGUGAGAGCCCCGUAUGGUCGGACACCAAGCCUGUGUGAAACUCCUUCGACGAGUCGAGUAGUUUGGGAAUGCUGCUCUAAAUGGGAGGUAAAUCUCUUCUAAAGCUAAAUACCGGCCAGAGACCGAUAGCGCACAAGUAGAGUGAUCGAAAGAUGAAAAGCACCUUGAAAAGGGGGUUAAAUAGUACGUGAAAUUGUUGAAAGGGAAGCACUUAUGACCAGACUUGGGCCGGGCGGCUCAUCAGGGGUUCUCCCCUGUGCACUCCGCCCGGCACAGGCCAGCAUCGGUUCCCGUGGGGGGAUAAGACCGCCGGGAACGUAGCACCCUCCGGGGUGUGUUAUAGCCCGGCGGACGAUACCCCCGUGGGGACCGAGGUUCGCGCUCCGCAAGGAUGCUGGCGUAAUGGUCAUCAGUGACCCGUCUUGAAACACGGACCAAGGAGUCGUCCAUUAGAGCGAGCGUUUGGGUGCAAAACCCGCACGCGUAAUGAAAGUGAACGCAGGUGAGAGCUUCGGCGCAUCAUCGACCGAUCCUGAUGUUCUCGGAAGGAUUUGAGUAAGAGUUUUAACGGACGGACCCGAAAGACAGUGAACUAUGCUUGUAUAGGGUGAAGCCAGAGGAAACUCUGGUGGAGGCUCGCAGCGGUUCUGACGUGCAAAUCGAUCGUCAAAUAUGAGCAUAGGGGCGAAAGACCAAUCGAACUGUCUAGUAGCUGGUUACCGCCGAAGUUUCCCUCAGGAUAGCAGUGUUGAUCUUCAGUUUUAUGAGGUAAAGCGAAUGAUUAGGGACUCGGGGGCUAUAUAUUGCCUUCAUCCAUUCUCAAACUUUAAAUAUGUAAGAAGCCCUUGUUACUUAAUUGAACGUGGGCAUUCGAAUGUACCAACACUAGUGGGCCAUUUUUGGUAAGCAGAACUGGCGAUGCGGGAUGAACCGAACGCGGGGUUAAGGCGCCAGAGUGUACGCUCAUCAGACACCACAAAAGGCGUUAGUACAUCUUGACAGCAGGACGGUGGCCAUGGAAGUCGGAAUCCGCUAAGGACUGUGUAACAACUCACCUGCCGAAUGUACUAGCCCUGAAAAUGGAUGGCGCUCAAGCGUACCGCCCAUACCCCGCCCCCAGGGUAGAAACGAUGCCCUGGGGAGUAGGCGGCCGUGGGGGUCUGUGACGAAGCCUAGGGCGUGAGCCCGGGUCGAACGGCCC